This 443-nucleotide ribosomal RNA is filed under the name uncultured bacterium. RNAcentral describes it as "partial 16S ribosomal RNA". It matches the Rfam family "Bacterial small subunit ribosomal RNA", at positions 338 to 795 of the family's 1533-position model. The record is from RNAcentral.
CCUACGGGGGGCAGCAGUGGGGAAUAUUGGGCAAUGGAGGAAACUCUGACCCAGCGACGCCGCGUGAAUGAUGAAGGUCUUCGGAUUGUAAAGUUCUUUUCUAAGGGAAGUAGAAAGUGACGGUACCUUAGGAAUAAGCCUCGGCUAACUACGUGCCAGCAGCCGCGGUAAUCCGUAGGAGGCAAGCGUUAUCCGGAAUGACUGGGGGUAAAGGGGGCGUAGGUGGUUUGACAAGUUGGUAGCGUAACUCCGGGGCUCAACCUCGGCACUACUACCAAAACUGGCGGACUUGAGUGCAGGGAGCGCAAAUGGAAUUCCUAGUGUAGCGGUGGAAUGCGUAGAUAUUAGGAAGAACACCAGUGGCGAAGGCGAUUUGCUGGACUGUAACUGACACUGAGGCACGAAAGCGUGGGGAGCAAACAGGAUUAGAUACCCUUGUAGUC